This 390-nucleotide ribosomal RNA is filed under the name uncultured bacterium. RNAcentral's name for it is "bacterial SSU rRNA". It matches the Rfam family "Bacterial small subunit ribosomal RNA", at positions 29 to 408 of the family's 1533-position model. The record is from RNAcentral.
AACGAACGCUGGCGGCGCGCCUAAUACAUGCAAGUCGAGCGAGAAGACGUAGCAAUACGUUUGUAAAGCGGCGAACGGGUGAGGAAUACAUGGGUAACCUACCCUCGAGUGGGGAAUAACUAGCCGAAAGGUUAGCUAAUACCGCGUACGCUCCUCGGACUUCGGUUCAGGGAGGAAAGCGAUACCGUGGGUAUCGCGCUCUUGGAUGGGCUCAUGUCCUAUCAGCUUGUUGGUGAGGUAACGGCUCACCAAGGCUUCGACGGGUAGCUGGUCUGAGAGGACGAUCAGCCACACUGGCACUGCGACACGGGCCAGACUCCUACGGGAGGCAGCAGUAAGGAAUAUUGCGCAAUGGGCGAAAGCCUGACGCAGCGACGCCGCGGUGGGGGA